UACGUAGGGUGCGAGCGUUAAUCGGAAUUACUGGGCGUAAAGCGUGCGCAGGCGGUUCGUUGUGUCGGCGGUGAAAGCCCCGGGCUCAACCUGGGAAUGGCCGUUGAAACUGGCGAACUGGAGUGUGGCAGAGGGGGGUGGAAUUCCGCGUGUAGCAGUGAAAUGCGUAGAUAUGCGGAGGAACACCGAUGGCGAAGGCAAUCCCCUGGACCUGUACUGACGCUCAUGCACGAAAGCGUGGGGAGCAAACAGG
This 253-nucleotide ribosomal RNA is filed under the name uncultured bacterium. RNAcentral's name for it is "partial 16S ribosomal RNA". It matches the Rfam family "Bacterial small subunit ribosomal RNA", at positions 524 to 776 of the family's 1533-position model. The record is from RNAcentral.